RNAcentral lists this long non-coding RNA (34075 nucleotides) under Solanum tuberosum (potato). RNAcentral describes it as "long non-coding RNA (STUB_LNC009461)". The record is from RNAcentral. Lineage: Eukaryota; Viridiplantae; Streptophyta; Magnoliopsida; Solanales; Solanaceae.
CACUAAAGAAGCCUUCACUGAAUGGAUUCUGCAGUGAAGUACAAUUAAUCAUGUCGAUCUCAUAUAUUGAAGGGAGGUUGUCCAAUCCUGUAAUCUUGACCAGUUUUUGGCAAUUCCUAAGUUCAAGAGUUGUAAGGUACGCUAAAUUUGAUAUUGACGGGAGUGUUUGAAGAUUCUCCCAAUCAUUCAAACACAAGGACAUCAACAAGGGUAACUUGGAAAAAUCAAAGGGUACAUAGAGGAAACUAUUGCCGCUCAAAUCUAAACAAAGUAACAUGGAUAAUUUCCCAAUAUCCCUAGGAACAUCAAAACCACAAUAUGAAAGGCGUAGAAUCGAAAUAAAUUUUGACAAGGAUACUACGGGGAGUACUCUUGUUUGAGAAAACCUCCUUUUGGCCUCUAAAUUCCGACCUCUCACAUCCAAUCUCGUAAGAUUUCUUAACAUUUCAACAGAUCCAGGCAAUUGUUUUAUACCUGUAUGACGUGCACGAAGAAGUCUUAGGCUUUGCAUAUCUCCAAUGUCAACUGGCAGUGUUUGUAAAGAUGAGCAGUAACUAAUGUACAAAACUCUAAGGGAUUUUAGCUGGCAUAUGUUGCUCGGAAGUUCCGUAAUCUUUUCACAACCAUUCAGUUGAAGAUAAGUUAGUCUGUCCAAAUUUCCUAUUGAUGGAUGGAUCUCCUUCAGACUUGAGCAAUUCUCAAGCAGCAAAGUCUCGAGACUUCGUGAACCGUUUGAAGUUUUGGAGUUUUUCUGAGGCGCUUGCAAUCAGAGAGAUCCAGCAUUUUCAAAUUUCUACAACACUAAAAGUAAACAAAAUAUUGUUUCAAUUAAGAUUUUCUUUCUCUUAAACAUUACACAUAAAAUUGCAGAAUUGAGUAACGAACCUGCAAAUUCAAACCAAAUUCUUGGAUAUUGCUCCCUUUCAUAUUCAGAAAUACAAGUUUAUCAGAUGGAAAAUUUGAUGGUAUACAUUUUUAAAGGACAUCCUUUCCAAGACAGCCAUCUGAGCUCCUUGGACAAUAGCUCAAAAUCUCCACUAAUACGUAAGUCGUCGAUUUUAAGCACCCUAAGAUUUAUCAUUUUCUGAAAUGCUUUGGUGUUCAGCUUCACACCCUUUAAUGCAUGUCGUUCUACCACCAAUAUUUCUACAUUUUCAGAACCCUACAGUUUAGUAAGAAGAAAAGUACUAUAAGACCAUGUUAAGUAUGAUAAAUUAAGAAAGAGAAAUGCUUUAUACAAAUUGAAGGUCAAACAAAGAGAAUAAAUUAUGUACCAAUAAAAAUAAAUUUACACAUUAUAUCCAACUAAAGGAUAUUUAUUUGAUAAUUUUGUCUUUGAUAGUUUGUUUAGACUUCAGUAAAUGUUCAUUUCAAGUACAGAAUGGUUCAAACGUCUAAAGAUACUUACUAGCCGGAGAAGAUUUAAGCACAAAUGCAUAAAUUAUAAGCAAAUGUAUAUCAAUAUAAAAGAAAAAAAGAAGAAGAAGUAUAACCAAGAUAAAGAUAAUGAAAUUUACUGACUUUAUUUCCUUGUAGAACAUCAAUGACUUCUUGAGGGUUGAACAAUCUACUCCGUUUUCCAGGGUCUUGAGAUUCCAUGCGAACGAUUUCUCUUCCCAUUUCCUGCACUAGAUCAUGCAUCACCAAACUAUGCCGAUCCCUUUGGAGCAAGUUCCUUUGGACUAAGGUUGAAAUUGCACUUUCAGAAUAAAAACCACACGCAUUUAAUGUUUUGGUAACUUCAUCCUCAUACCAACCAUGGAAGGCACAUGCGAUAUCAAGGAAAACACUCUGAGUAUUGACAUCAAGUCCAUCAAAGCUUAUCUUGAGAAUCUUUUGAAUACCACCAUGAGGAAUUGCUUUUAGUUUUUUGAACUCGUAUCUCCAUUCUUUAACGGAUCUCCCUUGCAGAUGCGACCCCAAUGUCACAAGAGCUAAUGGUAGCCCGCAUGAAUAUUUUAUUAUGUCUUGUGCCAGAUCAACAUAUUCUUGUGGUGGAGAAAAACAGUUAAAAGCAUGACAAGAAAAAAGUUGUUGUGCUUCAUUGUCAUUUAAAAGUUUGGCCUGGUAUAGCUCACUUGUUGUAAGCCCAUAUAGCAAAUGCCCAUCUCGGGUUGUAAUAAUUACUACACUACCAAAGCCAAACCAACUUCUUUCUCUUGUUAAGGAUUCUAAUUGGCCUCUAUGAUCCACGUCAUCAAGAACAAUUAGAACCUUCUGAGACCCAAGUCUUGCUUUGAUGAGAUUAACACCUUCAGCAACACUAUCAACUUCAAAUUCCUUAGUUUUGAGGAUUUGAUUAAGUAGUUUCUCUUGAAGCUUGACUAGACCCGAUUCAUCGGUUUUUGAUCUAAUGUCAGAAAGGAAGCAACUACCAUCAAACUGUUGAAAUAUUUGAUUAUAGAUAGCUUUUGCCAAAGUUGUUUUUCCAAUUCCACCAACUCCACAUAUACCAACCAUGCGAACUUCAUGCUCACAUCCACUUUGCAGUAACACCUCUAUAUGUUUGAUAGGAGAAUCUAAUCCAAUUGGGUAAUGAGCAACAUCUAGAGGUGUCUGGUUAACCUCUUGCAGAACUUGUUUUAUAAUACUCUCAAUAAACUUUGAUUCAUGCCUACAGUUUUUGGAACAAUAAAUACUUGAGUAUUUUAAAAUAUUUGAUGAACAAAAUAAAAAUCAAUAGCCAAAAGAUAACAGAGUUUAUAGAAUGGAGAAUAUAUUCCUUGUCCCUAUCUAUAUAAAACAGUUUGAUUUGACAUAGAAUUUAAAAACUAUAGAAAUAUUUUGAAAUUUUCCAUAAUUAACCAACUUAUAAGAUUAGGCAAACGCUUAAAUUCAAAAUCUUAUAGUUGAAUUAAGAAGUCUUACCCAUCAGCAAUAUUUCUCAAAUUCCAUCCAGAUAAAUUUGCUGCUUCAGUAAGUGCAGCUUUCCACUUUUCCAUUCUUUCAGCUCCAACCAAUCGUUCCUUGUGUUUUCCAAAGCUUCGUCAAAGGAUCCAGUUUGCCUUCGCACUUGAGAAGGAUCAACAUCAUAGAAAAUAGGCAAAACUACCUGAUUUUAACCUCUCUUUGCAAUCGAGAAUUUUGACAAGUUCAUCAAGACACCAACUAGACGAAGCAUAAUUUUUGGAGAAAACAACAAUGGCAAUUCUAGAUUGUUCAAUUGCUUUGUCAAGUUUGUUUGAAAUGACGUCUCCCUUUCUCAAUUCCUCAUCAUCUAUGAAAGUAUUAACUCCGACUUGACACAAUCGAAAAUAAAAAUGACCUGUGAAGUUUUUGCGAGUAUCUUCACCUCUAAAACUCAGAAACACAUCAUAAGAGAAGUUGGAAGAAGAAGAUGAUUCUCCUUGAGUAUUCAUAUUUGAUGACAAUAUAUGGAAUAAUUAGGCGAUUUUUAGUUGAAUGAAAGAAAGAUGAGUGAAGCAGCUACAGGUAAUAAUUUGUUCCUGGAAACCCAAUUUUGGGUCAACUCAUUUACAAUCCCUAAAAAAGUUAAUCCCUAGAUAGUUCACGUGUCUAUAUUUUAAAAGUAGAUAUAUUGACAUAAAUUUAGAUGGUAAAAAGUACUCCUUUUCUCUUUAAUUAUUUCUUCAUUUUUAAUUUGAUAGACCUAUUAAGAAAACUGUAACUUGCAUCUAGUUAAAAAGAAUGUUGAAAUAUUGAGUUUUAUGAAUUUGAUUUUAUUUUACUUUCUACAAAAGUUGUGUGAUCAUUUGGUAAUGGCCAUUACUAUUGCUCAAAGUUUUUAAACAUGAAAUAUAACUAAUACGAUAAUAAUUUUAAUAUAGCUUACUAAAAUAUUCAAGAUAAUAAAUGGAGAUGAUUAAAGUUUUUGGUCAAAAUCAUCCUCAAACUAUAGUCUAGAUUUUGGAUACAUCCUUGCAUUAUUAUACUGAACGAAAAACAUCAUUCAUCUAUCUAAAAAGUUUCAAUAGUCAUCCUUCUGUUAAUUUUUGUCAAAAACUACCGUCAAAACAUGUGUCAAGCAUGUGGCUUUUCCUCUAAAUCUCCUAAUUUUAAUCGUCUUCUGCACUAUAUUUUGAGCUAUUGUACACUCCCUCCGAUCAUGUCUCCUCGAGAAGUACUUGUUAAAUUAUUCUAUUGUAUCUUAUAUUAACUUUAAUCAAGUAAAUUAUUACAAAGUAAGAUAUCAACUUAGAACAUGUUUUAACUGUAACUGUUAGAGGUCGUUUGGUAGAGUGUAUUAGGAAAAAUAACGCAUGCAUUAGCAUUGUGUAUUACUAGUACCUUGUUUGGUACUCUUUUCCAACCUAUGUAUAACUAAUGCUUGCAUUAGUUAUACACUCUGAUCUAUUGUGUAUUAAGGUGUGUAUUGCUAAUACCAUGGAUUUCUAGGUAUUAGCAAUGCAAUGGUUUUAAUGCAUGCAUUAGAUUAACUAAUGACAAAACUACCCUCUAAGCCUAAUAAUAAUAAUAAUAAUAAUUAUAAUAAUAAUAAUAAUUAUAAUAAUAAUAAUAAUUAUAAUAAUAAUAAUAAUUAUAAUAAUAAUAAUAAUUAUAAUAAUAAUAAUAAUUAUAAUAAUAAUAAUAAUUAUAAUAAUAAUAAUAAUUAUAAUAAUAAUAAUAAUUAUAAUAAUAAUAAUAAUUAUAAUAAUAAUAAUAAUUAUAAUAAUAAUAAUAAUUAUAAUAAUAAUAAUAAUUAUAAUAAUAAUAAUAAUUAUAAUAAUAAUAAUAAUUAUAAUAAUAAUAAUAAUUAUAAUAAUAAUAAUAAUUAUAAUAAUAAUAAUAAUUAUAAUAAUAAUAAUAAUUAUAAUAAUAAUAAUAAUUAUAAUAAUAAUAAUAAUUAUAAUAAUAAUAAUAAUUAUAAUAAUAAUAAUAAUUAUAAUAAUAAUAAUAAUUAUAAUAAUAAUAAUAAUUAUAAUAAUAAUAAUAAUUAUAAUAAUAAUAAUAAUUAUAAUAAUAAUAAUAAUUAUAAUAAUAAUAAUAAUUAUAAGUUGAAGAUAAACUAACAGAAGGAUGAGUAUGCAAUUUUUGGGUAAGAUAGAGGGAUGUUUCUUAUCCAUGAUUAUAUUAGAAUGAUGUACUUUAGAUUUGUGCCAUAGUUGAGAGAUGAUUUCAGUUAAAAAUUUAAAAUACUUUAAUUAAAAUUAAUACGAUUUCUUACCUACUUCCUAAUUGGGAACUUUGUAUUUAUGAUAAAGAAGUAUAAAAAAAUUAUCCCGAACCCAACCAAUAAAUGUUUUUUUAUAAAAUUUAGAACCUAUAGUUUUUUAAUCUUCCAGGGUCCCAUUUUUCUAUGGAUUGAAUCAUCAUAAUAUUUUAUGACAAAAUACUGUAAAAUGGUGUAUGAUUGUAUGGCAUAUAUACCAUUUGUAUAUUCCCCAAAAUCAAUGAUAACCAUUUGUCUCUAACUUUAAUUUUGAAUUGUACUAAUUGAAUAUAUUAAUUGUACAAUACACAUUUAUUUAGUUCAAAGAUUUCCUCUUUGUACUUUAAGCUUCGGAAUGUAUUGUUUUCCUCAUUUUAUGAAGUGUUAUUAGAAAAAAAAAAAAAAAAAGCAUAAUACAUAAACAUGUGAUAUUUAAAUUUGGUCUUAGUUAAAUUAUCCAAUUUAUAAAAUGAUCAUUUAGACUCUUCCAAAAAUUAUUUGUUACGUUAAUGUAGGAUGUCCAUGAGAUACAUUGAGGCCAAGUUGGAGUGUUUAGUUGUUAGUUGAUAGCAAGUUAAAAUAUCUAGACUUGCACUUUCAAAGUUAGAGACUGAUUUUAUGUUGUUUUUUAUUUGUGUGUCUAAUUAUGAUGUUUUAUUCAUAUGGUUUUGAUUUGUGAAUGAAUUUUGAUUUUGCUCAUGUUAUUGUUGAUGGAUUCAUUUUCAGUCACUACUUAAUUAGUUACUAGAUGUGGAUUAAGAUUUUGAGUUUGUAAAUUCUAGAUCACAAUCGAUCUUUUUUGAAGUUUGUUGGAAUGUCAUAACAUAAAUACAUGAUUUGAAUCAAAGUUAUUGAGUUUGAUCAAACCCGUAGAUCCUAUACACGGUGGAUGAGAGAAUUAGAAAUAAUUGGACAAAAUUCAUUUAGGAGUCAUUUGCAAAUGAGAUUGUAUUUGGAUGAGAAUUUUGAAUAUAUUACAUGUUGAUAGUAGUGUCUGAGGUGUUAUAUACAAAUACUUUUAGAACAAACUUUUUUCUUACAUAACGAACACAAAAAGCAAGUAAGAAACUGUAACAUCCGGUAAUUUGAAAUAACUAUGAAGAAGCUUGAAAUUGGAAAUAGUCAUUUUUGGAAAGAAUUCAAAAAUCUGGAAAUUUAGCUAAGUAUGGAAAAAGUGAGUUUUUGGUCAACUUCGAACAGUCAUAACUCCUAGCUCAGGAUGAGUUAGGUGUAUUUCCAGUUAUGUUUGCGAAUCCCUUGGAAUGAUCUUUCCAACGCCGCUGAGUUUGCUCGAUUCCGAGUUCGUAUGAGUGAGUUAUGCCCUUUGGAAGUUGGGCUGUUGGCAUAGGGAAGUUCAUCCGAAUUAGUAAGGGUAUUUUGGUCUUUUCCCUAACCAUUUCUUUUGGUUAUAUUAAGGGUCUAGGAUGAUAAAAAAAUCAGUUUUCCCUUUUAAAAGUGAGAGUUAGGGUUCUUGAGAGAAAAGGAGAGAAGAGGAGAAAGAGAAGAAGAAGCAAAGUUCGUCAAGAUCGUCGUGGUUUUCGUCGGGGGUGAUCCCUAUUAAGGUAUGUGAGAUCAUAGUGUUGGGUUGGUUCAUUCCCCCACACGCCAAACUCGUUUUAAUUUCCGAGAAAAGAUUGGUUGUGUUUGUUGAAGAUUUGGUUAUGUUUGUUGAAGUUUGUGCCUGGUUGUGUUUGUUGAAGUUUCUUGUUGGUUUGGUACAUGUUUCCGGUUGUGUUUUCGAGUUGAAUCUAUUGUAUGUUGAGGGGUUUUAGGAUUCUAAGUGUUUGGGGCUGGAACCUUUGAAGUUAAGGUUGUUUAGAGUUGGAAAAACAAGGGAGAAAAGUCGAGUUUUUUGGGGAAAGGGCUGGCGCGUUGAGCCAGCCAGCACGCCUAAAAAGGGAUUUUGAACUUCCACCCUUGGGGCGGCGCGCCAUGCAGAGCGCCCCACCAGCCCUUCUGAACUUUGAGGGCUGGCGCCCCGCGCCUCUCAGAGCGCCAAGGACGCCAAGUCUUCCCAUUCAUUCCCCACUUUUUCAUACAUGUUCCUUAGCAAUGUACCUAUGUUUUAUAGUUGUUUUCAACACUCCAAGGUACGUCUAAACAUCAAGAACUCAUCCAUAAACAUGAGAUCUUUACCCUUGAAUUCAUAAUCCGAUUCGAGGAAAGUUCGGACCAAAGUCAAGUGAAGUUAGAGUCAAGCUUAGAAGUUAAGAAGUAAGUCGAAGCAAGUCUUUAAAGUUUUUCAAGAGUCUUUAUUGAACGUUUUAACUUCAUUUUAAGACUCAAGUUUCAAGGUGAGUAAAGAGUAUAGAGUUUCAAGUUAAGUAAAGAGUAUAGAGUUUCAAGUUGAGUAAAGAUUAUAGAGUUGAGUUCAUUUCUCAAGAGUUAUUAGGGAACUAAGUAUUCCCAAAGAAGUUUAGAAAUGUUUUCACAUUUGAGUAAGAAAGGAACAAUGAUUUCCAAAAGAGCCUUUGGGCUAGUUUUCAAGAAAAAGAAACAUCGAUUCCAAGUGAGCCUUUGGGCUAGAUUUUGAGCAAUUAUCUCAAACUAAAGAAAGAUGUGUUUAAAACACUUAUGAGCUAAAGUAUAUUUUGGGAGUAGUCUUGAGCACUGAAUUGGGGACACGAGUUCAUAUUAACUCAACUCUCCAUAAGAACCAUGUAGCCAACAUGGGAGUUAACGGGUCAUACUUUUUAGAUGAACCCGUAAAGUUAAGCUAGUGGAUCCACUUAGUAAAGUUAGCUUGUUAACGAGUCAUACUUUUUAAAUAAUCACGUAAGAUUAAGCUAGUGGAUCCACUAAGUUAAGUAAGGUCCUAUAUCACGGCAAGGUAUAGGAUGUUCCUUGGCCAACGUGAGGUAAAACGUUGUAUCAUCACUAGGGCUCAUAGUGGUGGUUGUCGGUUAAAGAAUCUCCUACUAAAGUUAUAUUACUUUUAUAUAAGUAAAGUUGAGUUUGUUAUUGUUUUAUCCUUAACGAACUAAGUGGUUUACACUGUUUUUACAAGCUUUAUAUAUUGCAUGUGUCUUAUUGCUUUAUAUUGAGUUCGGUUGUUCAUGAGUCGAACAGAGCUAAGGUAAGAGUUCCUUUGUAUUCCUUUCAAGCUUAAGUUGUUGUUAGCUUCCCAGCUCGCAUACUCGUACAUUCAAUAUACUGAUGCCAGUUUGACUGCAUCUUAUUAUGAUGCAGACGCAGGUACCCAGGAUCAGCAUCCAGCACGCCGUUGAUCCAGCUGAGCACUCCAGAGUCAGUGGUGAGCCUCUUUACUUUCCGGAGGACUCUAUUAUUUCGUUUUCCUAGUUUUGUUUUAUUAGGAUGUUGCGGGGUCUGUCCCAACAUCCAUCUCAGUGUUAUAGAAGCUGCAUAGACAGUCAGUCAGUUAGUAUUGAGUCUCUCAUCUAUGUAUAUAUGUAAAUAUUCUAUUUUGAGACACGAGUUGCCUUUUGGCCAGAUUUUAUCAGUUAGGUUGUUUUAUGACCUUUCAUUGCAUUGAGUUAUUCUGUCGAGUUAAGUUUCCACUGAGUUAAGAAAGUUGGGCCAAGGGUUUGCUUGGGGCCAGCAAUGGUCUUCAAGUGCCAGCCACGUCCAGGGUGUAGACUUGGGGCGUGACAAUCUCUUUUAAGAAAAAGAUGAGUUUUGCGAAAGAGUUUCUAAAACAUGAUUAGUAUGACAAUCGAGUAUGUUAUCAAUGUUUAAACAGUAUGGUCUCUAGAUAUACCAUCAAUGUUUAUGAAGUAUGACUUCUCGAGUCAUCAAUGAUCAUAUUAAAAUAUGGUUUUGAUAUGUUUCUUUUUUUUUAAAACAGUUUUCAAGAGCAAUUACCUCUUUUAAGAGGGUAGUUUUGAGUAAUUUUCUCAAACUAAAUAAAGAAGUUUGUUUUAAAGCUUAUGAGCUAAAGUAUAUUUUUGGGAGUAGUCUUGAGCACCGAAGUGGGUAUACGAGUUCAUAUUAACUCAACUCUCCAUAAGAACCAUGUGGCCAACAUGAGAUUUAACGGGUCAUACUUUUUAAAUGAUCACGUAAGUUAAGCUAGUGGAUCCACUAAGUUAAAGUUAAAGUAAGGUCCUAUAUCACGGCAAGGUAUAGGAUGGUCCUUGGGCAACGUGAGGUAAAACGUUGUAUCAUCACUAGGGCUCAUAGUGGUGGUGAUCGGUUAGAGAAACUCCCAUAGUAGAAAUGGUUCCUCGAGGGGUUCUGCUUAGUAUGGAUGGGGGUAUGGGACUUCACUCAUACAUUGCACAAGUAGACCUUGAAAGGAAGCAUGGUAUUUUAUGAUAUUAUAANNNNNNNNNNNNNNNNNNNNNNNNNNNNNNNNNNNNNNNNNNNNNNNNNNNNNNNNNNNNNNNNNNNNAUGGGGGUAUGGGACUUCAUUCAUGCAUUGCACAAGUAGACUUUGAGAGGGAGCGUGAUAUUUUUAUGAUAUUAUAAAUGUGAUUUUUGACGUCAUGUUUUAAUAGUUUUACAAGCUUUAUAUAUUGCAUGUGCGUUAUUGCUUUAUAUUGAGUUUGGUUAUUCAUGAGUGUCUGUCCCAACAUCCAUCUCAGUAUGUUAGUGGCUUCAUAGACAGUCAGUCAGUUAGUAUUGAGUCUCUCAUCUAUGCAUAUAUAAAUAUUCUAUUUUGAGACGAGUUGCCUAUUGGCCAGAUUUUAUCAGUUGGGUUGCUUUAUGACCUUUCUUUGCAUUGAGUUAUUCUGUUGAGUUAGGUUUCCGCUGAGUUAAGAAAGUCAGGCCAAGGGUUCACUUGGGGUCAGCAAUGGUCUUCGAAUGUCGGUCCCGCCCAGGGUGUAGGCUCGGGGCGUGACAGAAACCUACUUAUUCUCCGAAAAAGCAUUUUUCAAAAAGACAUUUUAGAGGCAUUGUUAUCAUUUGGUAGAUCCAGGUUCAUGGCCUAUUUCUAUGGAACACAUUCUCCAUAGUACCGAACACAGUCUCAGAACUUUGUUUGUUGAUAUCCACUGUUAUGGACCUCACUUGUGGAAUUUCAUUGGAUGUGUUGUUGAUGUUUGAGUUGAUAUGCCGUGCUGAAAAUCUUUGUGGGUAGGAGGGAGUAUAAGAAUGAUCCACAACUCCCGGCAACGAUGUAAUAAGAAAUUUGUUUGUUAUGUAUAAAAGAAUUAUCCCGAACCUGGCCUUUUUUCAUAAAAUUCAGAACCUAUAAUUUUUUAAUCUUCCCGGGGUCCCCUUUUUCUAUAGAUUGAAUUAUCAUAAUAUUUUAUGACAAAAUAUUGUAAAGGUGUAUGAAAUGGUAUAUUGCUCAAAAUCAUGGUAAUACCAUUUAUUUAUAACUUUAAAAUUUUGAAUUGUACUAAUUGAAUAUAUUAAUUUCACAAUGUACUUUUAUUUAGUUCAAAGUUUUCCUCGUUGUACUUUAAGCUUUGGAGUGUAAUGUUUUUCCGCAUUUUAUGAGGUGCUAAGAUUAGAAAAAGGCAUAAUACAUGAAUAGACGAUAUUCAAAUUUGGUCUUAAUUAAAUUCUCCAAUUUAUAAAUUGAUCACUUAGACUCUUCCAAUAAUUAUUUAUUACAUCAAUGUAGGGUGUUCACGAAAUACGAGAUACAGUGAAGCCAAAUUAAAAUAUUUAGAUGUACACUUCCACAAGAAGGUUAACCAAAAUGAAAGGGAAGUUUCCCAACAUAUUUUUUCUUAGAUAUGUCUCAUUCACUUUUACCUUUACUUUUACUUUUACGGUUACUCUUUUUUUUGUGUGUUAUAUUUGAAUUUGACAUACCACUAAAAAUAUUAUUGGGACUUCUUUUAUAUUUGUCCUUUCUUAUUGAGUAUGCUAAAGUAUACACUUAAAUUUGUAUAAAAUUAAAUAAAUAGACAUGGCGUCUUACAUGAAAAUUUGUGUCCUAUAUGUAUUACGUCACAUAAAAUGAGUAUGUCUACUUGUUCAAUUUUAUACAAGUUUAAGUGUUUAUUUGUACACAUCUAAAGUUGGAGGACAUAGAUGUCAGCAAAAACCAAGUUAAAUGACAUAUAUUUUUUUUUAUAUCUUUAGAAAUAUUCAAAAGAAUAAUAGUGAAAAGUAAAUUUUGAUUUUUGUCUUUAAAUUUAAGCGGUACAAACUUCUUUUCUUAUACAACUAGGAUAACAGUUCUCUCUUGAUAUGUCACCUCUUUCACAUUAAUUGUCGUCCUAACUCUUUGUUUAAACUUCUUUGUUGGCAUCUCAAAGUCAAUCAUUCUUUGAAUCUCUUUCACAUUUUUAAGUGAAUUGAAAUAAAUGGACAAAAUUCAUUUAGGAGUCAUUUGCAAAUCAGAUUGUAGUUGGAUGAGAAUGUUGAAUAUUACAGAUUGAUAGUAGUGUCUAAGGUGACUGUUAUAUACAAAUACUUUAAGAACAAACUUUUUUCUUACAUAACGAACGCAAGAAAAUAAGUAAGAAAUCUACUUAUUCUCCGGAAAAACAUUUUCCAAAAAGACAUUUUAGAGGCAUUGUUAUCAUUUGGUAGAUCCAGGUCCAUUGCCGAUUUCUAUGGAACACAUUCUCCAUGGUUCCGAACACACUCUCAGAACUUUGCUCGUUGAUAUCCACUGUUACGGACCUCACUUGUGGAAUUUCAUUGGAUGUGUUGUUGUUGUUUGAGUUGAUAUGCCAUGCUGAAAGUCUUUGUUGUUGUUUGAGUUGAUAUGCCAUGCUGAACGCUUUAUAUGGGCAACAGUAACAGCGAAGUGUUCAAGCUCAUGUGCAUCGCAAAGGCGGCAAACAAACCAGAGAACCAUUCCUAAGAACUUGUUAUUAUGUACUGUGGGCAUAGUCAAACAAAUAAGAUAAAAGAAUUUACUGACUUUAUUUCCUUGUAGAACAUCUCGGACUUAUUGAGGUUUGAACAAUCUACUCAAUUUUCUAGAGUCUCGAGGUGAUUCCAUACGAACAAUUUCUCUUCCCAUAUCUCGCACUAGAUCAUGCAUCACCAAAUAACGCCAAUCCCUUUGGAGAAAGUUCCUUUGGACUAAGGUUGAAAUUGCACUUUCAGAAUAAAAACCACACGCGUUUAAUGUUUUGAUAACUUCAUCCUCAAAAAAUUCAUGGAAGGCACACGCAAUAUCAAGGAAAACACUUUGAGUAUCACAAUCAAGUCCGUCAAAGCUUAUCUUGAGGAUCUUUUGAAUAUCACAAUGAGGAAUUGCUCUUAGUUUUUUGAACUCGUAUCUCCAUUCUUUAACGGAUCUCCCUCACAAUCAAGUCCGUCAAAGCUUAUCUUGAGGAUCUUUUGAAUAUCACAAUGAGGAAUUGCUCUUAGUUUUUUGAACUCGUAUCUCCAUUCUUCUACGGAUCUCCCUUGUAAAUGUGACCCCAAUGUCACAAGAGCUAACGGUAGCCCACCUGAAUAUUUGAUUAUGCUUUGUGCAACCUCAACAUAUUCUUGUGGCGGAGAAGGACUACUAAAAGCAUGACAAGAAAAAAGUUGUUGAGCUUCAUCUUGAUUUAAAUGUUUUGCCUUGUAUCUCUCGUUUUCUCUAAUCCGAGAUAGCAAAUGCUUGUCUCGGGUUGUAAUAAUUAUUAAACUACCAGAACCAAACCAACUUCUUUCUCUUGUUAAGGAUUCUAAUUGGCUCAUAUAAUCCACGUCAUCAAGAAUAAUUAGAACCUUCUUUGACCCAAGUCUUGCUUUGAUUAGAUUGAUGCCUUCAGCAACACUGGUAACUUUGACGUCCUUAGUUUUGAGAAUUUGAUUUAGUAGUUUUUCUUGUAACUUGACUAAACCAAAUGCUUCAGCUUCUGAUCUAACAUCUGAAAGGAAGCAACUAAUAUCAAAGUGUCGAAAUAUUUGAUUGUAGAUAGCUUUAGCCAGAGUUGUUUUUCCUAUUCCACCUACGCCAUAUAUACCAACCAUGCGAACUUCAUCUACACAUCCUUUUUGGAGUAACAACUCUAUAUCUUCGACACGAGAAUCUACUCCAACAGGAUGCCAAGCAAUAUCUAGAGGUGUCUGGUUUACCUCUAGUAGAACUUGUUUUACAAUACUUUCAAUAAAUUUUGAUUCAUGUCUGCAUAUUAGCAAAAACAAAAGUUAGAAUAAAAAAAACAACUUUGAUGUGUGGAAAAAAAAUAAUUGAUAACCAACUUAUGACUUUUGACUGAUAAGUCAGUUUGACCAGUUUAUAAAUAUUACCCGUCAACAACAUUUCGCAAAUCCCAUCCAGAUAAAUUUGCGCUAAUUCAGUAAGUGAAUCCGUCCAUUUUUUCAUUCUCUCAACCUCGAAUGAUCGCUCCUUAAGCAUAGCUAAAACUUCACCAAAGUAUCCGGUUUGCUUGCGUACAUGAGAAGGAUGAACAUCAUAGAAAAUAGGCAAAACUAUUUUCUUUAACUUGUCUUUGCAUUCGAGAAUUUUAACAAGUUCAUCAAGACACCAACUAGACGAAGCAUAAUUUUUCGAGAAAACAACAAUGGAAACUCUAGACUCUUCAAUUGCUUUCUCAAGUUCUUUUGAAAUCACCUUGCCUUUUCUUAAUUCCUCAUCAUCUAUGAAGGUAUUAAUUCCAACUUGACAUAAUCUGGAAUAAAGAUGACCUGUGAAGGUUUUUCGAGUAUCUUCACCUCUGAAACUCAGAAACACGUCAUAAGAGAAGUUGGAAGAAGUAGUUGAUGAUUCCCCUACAACAAAUUGAGUAUUCAUAUUUGAUGACUAAUAUAUGGAAGAAUGAGUAGCUAUCUAUAUAAUAUACCAUGCACAUGCUAUGGUUUUUUCUUGGUAACUUAACUAAUGCUAUAUAUUCUUUAAUUUAUUUUGUACAAUUAUUCUUCAUUAAAUUUUGUUAAUUGGGACUUUUUUUUUAAUGAUUCUUUACCUUUUGUCUCAUCUUUAAUUUGUUAAAGACUUGAAUGAUAAAAAGUAAGAUUCUUUCUUCCUUGAAAACUCAAAAGUUCAUCUCUCCACAUAAUUAUGAUGAUGUUAAGCUUGAUGUCAUAAUCUUUUAAUAAUGGAAUUGAAAACAUCGAUUUGUUCUCAAUUCACAAGUUGGAUUAAACUUUUUUUUCUUUUUUACCUAAUCAAGUAGUAUCGCAUAAAUUAUAACGAUAAUUUUUUAAAAGAAAUUAAAACACUUUGUAUUAAUAGUAAAAACUAGGAAACUUUGUCGUAAUAAAACUAACUACUAGUCUAUUGCAACUAUUAAACAAGUAAACAACUAAUAAAACUAAUUGGAUCACUCUUACUGAACCAUUGGUCUUAAUCCUAUACCUAUCAUACUGAUAUAGAGGUGAAUUCAGAACUUAAAAUUUAUGAAUUCUUAUAAAAAAUAAAUAAAUUUAUGAAUGAUAAUAAUUGAGUUCAUAAUCAAAUUAUAUUAAUUACUUAAUGAUUUUCUUAGUACAUAUAAAUAAUAUGAAUAAAAUCUAUUGAGUUCACACUAACCUCUCUAUAAUAAUCAAAUCAGUAAUUUUGAUCCAAAUUGAACUUUGUAUUUAUGAUAAUAAAUUUGUUUGUUAUGUGUAAAAAUAAUAUCCGGAACCCGAUCCGACCAGUAAAUGCUUUUUAUAAAAUUGAGAACCUAUAAAUAUAAAAUCGAAAUGCCAGUAGCAGUCAUAGUAUUUGGAACAAAGAAAAGCAAGGGAAUAACAAACCAUAUCUUCUGCUCCAACUUCACUUUCUUUAUAGUAUUUUUGAAAGGAAAAAAGGGAAUAGAAUUAAAUAUUAUCAGAAUGCCAACCAAAUAUUGAUUUUGUGCUCUAUCCUUACUGUGGGAAAAAAAAGAAAAUGUAAUUUAUUUGUGCAGUUUUUUAAUCUUCCAGGCGUCCCAUUUUUCUAUGGAUUGAAUUAUCAUAAUAUUUUAUGACAAAAUACUGUAAAAUGGUGUAUGACUGUAUGGGAAAUAUAAUAUUUGUAUAUUCCUCAAAAUCAUGAUAAUACCAUUUGUUUCUAACUUUUUAAUUGUACUAAUUGAAUAGAUUAAUUGUACAAUAUACUUUUGUUUAGUUCAAAGUUUUCCUCUUUGUACUUUAAGCUUGUGUGUCACGUCAGUAUAGGGUGUCCACGAGACACAUUAAGGGUGAGUUGGAGUGUUUAGCUGUUAGUUGAGAUGUCUAUAUGUACACUUUUAAUUAGUUACGCUUGCGAAAUUUUAAUUGGAUGACAAAACUAGGAUCGAAGUUUCGAGUGGUUAGCAUCUGACGGAUGAAAAAAAAAUCUAAAUGAAAAAUACUUUUUAGCGAAUCAGCUUGUAGUUGGAUGAGAAUUUUGAAUAUUACAGAUUGAUAGUAGUGUCUUAGGUGUUAUAUACAAAUACUUUAUGAACAAACGUUUUUCUUACAUAACGAUCACAAGAAAAUAAGUAAGAAACCUACUUAUUCUCCGGAGAAACAUUUUCCAAAAAGACAUUUUAGAGGCAUUGUUAUCAUUUGGUAGAUCCAGGUCCAUGGCCUACUUCUAUGGAACACAUUUUCCAUGGUACAUAACACAUUCUCAGAACUUUGCUCGUUGAUAUCCACUAAUACGGACCUCACUUGUGGGAUUUCACUGGAUGUGUUGUUGUUGUUUGAGUUGAUAUACCAUGCUGAAAGUCUUUGUGGGUAGGAGGGAGUAUAAGAAUGAUCCACAACUGCCGGGAAAGAAGUAACAUUACCAUGUUGAUCUACAUAUAAUAGACGUACUCCUAUCUUCUUUACAACGGCUCCGCCAGUGCGAUCCUCUACUGUUAUCUGUUCCCCGCCUUUGAUCUUCAGGCCAUUAAAAGGUCUAUUGUUUGAGUAAGAGAAGUAAUAUACACGUGAUAUUUCUCCCUGACUGUCAGGUAUAUUAAAAUGCGAACUCCACCAAAAAGUUGAAGACUCUACAUGGGCAACAGUAACAAUGAAGCUUUGAAGAUAGGAGGAUACAUUGCCAAAGUGGCAAACAAACCAGAGAACCAUUCCCAAGAACUUAUUAUUAUGUACUGUGGGCAUAGUCAAACAGAUAGAUGGAGCUGUUACUUUAUUGCUGCACCAAUCUGGAAUCUCAUUGCUUUCGAGAUUAAUUUGUAAUGACAUCUUCAUCAGACAAAUUAAGACACAAUUAGAUCAUUAAUUAUUAAUGUGAUACGAGGGAGAGAUCAGAGAGGGAGAGGGACUAACCUUAUACCGUUGAUGUUUUCUAGACGGAAUUGAUAGAGCAUGGGCACUAAAGAAGCCUUCAUUGAAUGGAUUCUGCAGACGAGUACAAUUAAUCAUGUCCACCUUCUCUAUUGAAGGGAGGUAGUCCGACCCUGUAAUCUUGACCAGUUUUUGGCAAUUCCUAAGUUCAACAAUUGCAAGGUGCUCUAAAUUUGAUAUUGACGGGAGUGUUUGAAGGUUCUCACAAUCAUUCAAAUAUAAGGACGUCAACAAUGGUAACUUGGAAAAAUCAAAGGGUAGAUAGAGGAAACUGUUGCCGCUCAAAUCUAAAAAAUAUAAGUUGGAUAAACUCCCAAUAUCCCUAGGAACAUCAGCCUCCGAGAAACCACAAUAUGAAAGGCGUAGAUUCAAAAUAAAUUUUGACAAGGACACUAUGGGGCGUACUCUUCUUUGAGAAAAACUCCUUUUGGCCUUUAAGUAUUGGCCUCCCAUUUCCAAUUCUACAAGAUUUCGUAGCAUUUCAACAGAUCCAGGCAAUUGUUUUAUACCUGUUUCACGUGCAUUAAGAUAUCUUAGGCUUUGCAUAGCUCCAAUGUUAACUGGCAGUGUUUGUAAAGACGAGCAGUCAUUAAUGUACAAGGUUUUAAGGGAUUUUAGCUGGCAUAUGCUGCUCGGAAGAUCCGUAAUAUUUUUUGCAACCAUUCAAUUGAAGAUCAGUUAGUCUGUCCAAAUUUCCUAUUGAUGGAUGGAUCUCCUUCAGACUUGAAGCAAUUCUCAAGCAACAAAGUCUCGAGACUUCGUGAACCGUUGAAGUUUGGAGUUUUUCUGAGGCGCUUGCAAUCAGAGAGAUCCAGCAUUUUCAAAUUUCUACAAUACUAAAAGUAAACAAAAUAUUGUUUCAAUUAAGAUUUUCUUUCCCUUAAACAUUACACAUAAAUUUGCAAAAUUGAGUAACGAACCUGCAAAUUCAAACCAAAUUCUAGGAUAUUGCUCCCUUUCAUAUUCAGAAAUACAAGUUUCUCAGAUGGAAAAUUUGAUGGUACACAUUUUAAAGGACAUCCUUUCCAAGACAGCCAUCUGAGCUCCUUGGACAAUAGCUCAAAAUCUCCACUAAUAUGUAAAGUCGUCGAUUUUUAAGCACCCUAAGAUUUAUCAUUUUCUGAAAUGCUUUUGGUGUUCAGCUUCACACCCUUUAAUGCCUGUCGUUCUACCACCAAUAUUUCUACAUUUUUAGAACCCUACAGUUUAGUAAAAAGAAAAGUACUAUAAGACCAUGUUAAGUAUGAUAAAUUAAGAAAGAGAAAUGCUUUAUACAAAUUGAAGGUCAAACAAAUAGAAUAAAUUAUGUACCAAUAAAAAAAAAAUUACACAUUAUAUCCAACUAAAGGAUGUUUAUUUGAUAAUUUUGUCUUUGAUAGUUUGUUUAGACUUCAGUAAAUGUUCAUUUCAAGUACAGAAUGGUUCAAACAUCUAAAGAUACUUACUAACGGGAGAAGAUUUAAGCACAAAUGCAUAAAUUAUAAGCAAAUGUAUAUCAAUAUGAAAAAAGAAGAAGAAGAAGUAUAACCAAGAUAAAGAUAAUGAAAUUUACUGACUUUAUUUCCUUGUAGGACAUCAAGGACUUCUUGAGGGUUGACCAAUCUACUCCGUUUUCCACUGUCUCGAGGUGAUUCCAUGCGAACGAUUUCUCUUCCCACAUCCUGCACUAGAUCAUGCAUCACCAAACGACGCCGAUCCCUUUGGAGCAGGUGUCUUUUGACUAGAGUUACAAUUGCACUUUCACAAUACAAACCACAGGCGUUUAAUGUUUUGGUAACUUCAUCCUCAUCACAUCCAUGGAAGGCGCACGCAAUAUCAAGGAAAACAUUCUGAGUAUUGUCAUCAAGUCCAUCAAAGCUUAUUUGGAGAAUCUUUUGAAUAUCAAAAUGAGGAAUUGUUCUUAGUUUUUCGAACUCGUAUCUCCAUUCUUCAACGGAUCUCCCUUGUAAAUGUGACCCCAAUGUCACAAGAGCUAAUGGUAGCCCACCUGAAUAUUUAAUUAUGUUUUGGGCCAGCUCAACAUAUUCAUGUGGUGGAGAAAGACUGUUAAAAGCAUGACAAGAAAAAAGUUGUUGUGCUUCGUUGCCAUUUAAAAGUUUGGCCCGGUAUAUCUCAUUUGUUGUAAGACCAUAAAGCAAAUGCUCGUCUCGGGUUGUAAUAAUUAUAACACUACCAGAACCAAACCAAUUUCUUUCUCUUGUUAAGGAUUCUAAUUGGCUUCUAUGAUCCACAUCAUCAAGAACAAUUAGAACCUUUUGGGACCCAAGUCUUGCUUUGAUGAGAUUAACACCUUCAGCAACACUAUCAACUUCAAAUUCCUUAGUUUUGAGGAUUUGAUGAAGUAGUUUCUCUUGAAGCUUGAUUAGACCCAAUUCUUCAGCUUUUGAUCUAACAUCUGAAAGGAAGCAACUACCACCAAACUGUAGAAAUAUUCUAUUGUAGAUGGCUUUUGCUAGAGUUGUUUUUCCAAUUCCACCAACGCCACAUAUACCAACCAUUCGAACUUCAUGCUCACAUCCACUUUGCAUUAACAACAAUAUAUCUUUGAUAGGAGAAUCUAAUCCAAUUGGAUAAUGAGCAACAUCUAGAGGUGUCUGGUUGACUUCUUGCAGAACUUGUUUUAUAAUACUUUCAAUAAAUUUUGAUUCAUGCCUACAGUUUUUUUAGCAAAAACAGUAAAAAACAAAACUUUGAUAUUUGAAAAUAUAUGAUGAACAAAACAAAAUCCAUAGCCAACAGAUAACAGGGAAAUCGAGGGUAGAGAAUGGAGAUUAUCAAUUACUAUUACUCCCUCGUUCCAAUUUAUGUGAUGCAGUCUGAUUUGGCACGGAGAUUAAGAAAUAUAAAAAGAAUUUGCAAUGUUCCAAAACUAACCAACUUAUAAGCUUAGGCAAAUGCUUAAAUUCAAAAUUCUAAAGUUGAAUUAAGAAGUGUUACCCAUCAGCAACAUUUCUCAAAUCCCAUCCAGAUAAAUUUGCUGCUUCAGUAAGUGCAGCUUUCCACUUUUCCAUUCUUUCAGUUCCAAUUGAUCGUUCCUUGUGUUUUGCCAAAGCUUCGCCAAAGGAUCCAGUUUGUCUUCGUACUUGAGAAGGAUCAACAUCAUAGAAAAUAGGCAAAACUAGCUGAUUUAACCUCUCUCUGCAAUCGAGAAUUUUGACAAGUUCAUCAAGACACCAACUAGAGGAAGCAUAAUUUUUGGAGAAAACAACAAUGGCAACCCUAGAUUGUUCAAUUGCUUUCUCAAGUUCAAUUGAAAUGACGUCUCCCUUUCUCAAUUCCUCAUCAUCUAUGAAAGUAUUAACUCCGACUUGACAUAAUCUGAAAUAAAGAUGACCGGUAAAGUUGUUUCUGGUAUCUUCACCUCUGAAACUGAGAAACACAUCAUAAGAGAAGUUGGAAGAAGAAGAUGAUUCUCCUUGAGUAUUCAUAUUUGAUGACAAUAAAUGGAAGAAUUAAGCGAUUUUUAGUUGAAUGAAAGAAAAGAUGAGUGAAGCAGUUACAGGUAAUUGUUUGUUCCUGGAAACUCAAUUUUGGGUCAACUCAUUUACAAUCCCUAAAGAAAGUUAAUCGAAACGAAAGGGAAGUUCCCAGCAUAUUUCUUAGAUAGUUCACGUGUCUAUAUUAAAAGUAGAUAUAUUUACAUAAAUUUAGAUGGCAAAAAGUAAUCUCUUUCUCUUAAUUAAUUACUUCUCCACUUUUGAAUUGACACACCUGAGUAUUAAGAAAACAAUAAGAAGUAGUAGAAAUAAUUAGGGAUGAUAAUGAGAUAGCGUGGAUGAAAGGUAGGGCGGAUUAAAGGUUAUAUGGGGCGGGGGCGGGGAGCUUUUAAGGUUGUAUGGGGUUGGGUGGAUGCAAAUUAAUGUGAGGCGGUGCGAUUUGUGGGUUCAUGUGAUUUUAUACGGAUUCAAAUUUAAUUUUAAUUGUAUAGGUUAUAAGAGUGAUGAAGCUUUCACGGAUAAAAAUACACAUGAUUUGGUAGUUAAACUAUUAGUAUUAGGAUUAGGAUAAAAUAAAGAGAAUAAUCUUGCCCUUUGUCUUGUAUUGUGUUAUAAUUCAUAUAAAAAAAUUUAUCUGAUUUGGAGUCUACUCAAUUUUCAAAAGAAAAAAAAAACUUUAAUUCAUGAUGUGCACUUUAUUUAUGCUUUUAUUUGCAUCUACUUAUUUUGACCCAACGAAAAUGAAUUUUGUUAUUUAUGCUCUGCAUAAAUUGCAUCUAGUUAAAAAGAAUUUUGAAAUAUUGAGUUUUAUGAAUUUGAUUUUAUUUUAUUUUCUACAAAAAUUGUGUGAUCAUUUGGUAAUGGCCAUUACUAUUGCUCAAAGAUUUUAAACAUGAAAUAUAACUAAUACAAUAAUAAUUUUAAUAUAGCUUACUAAAAUAUUCAAGAUAAUAAAUGAAAAUGAUUAGAGUUUUCGAUAAAACUCAUCCUCAAACUAUAGCCUAGAUUUUGGUUACAUCCUUGCAUUAUUAUAUUGAACAAAAAACAUCAUUCAUCUAUCUAAGAAGUUUCAAUAGUCAUCCUUCGGUUAAUUUUGGUAAAAAGUUAACUUGUUAUCGUCAAAAUAUGUGUAAAGCAUGUAGGUUUCCCUCUAAAUCUCCUAACCUAAAUCGUCUUCUCCACUAUAUUUUGAGCUAUUGCACUUUAGAUUUGUGUCAUAGUUGAAGGAUGAUUUCAGUAAAAAAUUUAAAAUAAUUUAAUUAAAAUUAAUACAAUUUCUUACCUACUUCCUAAUUGGGAACUUUGUAUUUAUGAUAAAGAAGUAUAAAAAAGUUAUCCCGAACCCGACCAGUAAAUGCUUUUUUAUAAAAUUUAGAACCUAUAGUUUUUUAAUCUUCCAGGGGUCCCAUUUUUCUAUGGAUUGAAUUAUCAUAAUAUUUUAUGACAAAAUACUGUAAAAUGGUGUAUGAUUGUAUGGCAUAUAUACCAUUUGUAUAUUCCCCAAAAUCAAUGAUAACCAUUUGUCUCUAACUUUAAUUUUGAAUUGUACUAAUUGAAUAUAUUAAUUGUACAAUAUACAUUUAUUUAGUUCAAAGAUUUCCUCUUUGUACUUUAAGCUUUGGAGUGUAUUGUUUUCCGCAUUUUAUGAAGUGUUACUAUUAGAAAAAAAGGCAUAAUACAUAAACAUGUGAUAUUCAAAUUUGGUCUCAGUUAAAUUCUCCAAUUUAUAAAAUGAUCAUUUAGAUUCUUCCAAAAUUAUUUGUUAUGUUAAUGUAGGAUGUCCACGAGAUACAUUGAGGCCAAGUUGGAGUGUUUAGCUGUUAGUUAAUAGCAAGUUAAAAUAUCUAGACGUGCACUUUCAAAGUUAGAGACUGAUUUUAUGUUGUUUUUUAUUUGUGUGUCUAAUUAUGAUGUUUUAUUUAUAUGGUUUGAUUUGUGAAUGAAUUUUGAUUUUGCUCAUGUUAUUGUUGAUGGAUUCAUUUUCAGUCACUACUUAAUUAGUUACUAGAUGUGGAUUAAGAUUUUGAGUUUGUAAGUUCUAGAUCUCAACCGAUCAUUUUUGAAGUUUGUUGGAAUGUCAUAACAUAAAUACAUGAUUUGAAUCAAAGUUAUUGAGUUUGAUCAAACCCGUAGAUCCUAUACACGGUGGAUGAGUGAAGCAGAAAUAAUUGGACAAAAUUCAUUUAGGAGUCAUUUGCAAAUGAGAUUGUAUUUGGAAGAGAAUUUUGAAUAUUACAUAUUGAUAGUAGUGUCUAAGGUGUUAUAUACAAAUACUUUUAGAACAAACUUUUUUCUUACAUAAUGAACACAAGAAAAUAAGUAAGAAAACCUACUUAUUCUCCGGGGAAACAUUUUCCAAAAAGACAUUUUAGAGGCAUUGUUAUCAUUUGGUAGAUCCAGGUCCAUGGCCUAUUUCUAUGGAACACAUUCUUCAUGGUACCGAACACAAUCUCAGAACUUUGUUCGUUGAUAUCCACUGUUACGGACCUCACUUGUGGGAUGUGUUGUUGUUGUUUGAGUUGAUAUGCCCGAAAGUCUUUGUGGGUAGGAGGGAGUAUAAGAAUGAUCCACAACUCCCGGCAAAGAUGUAACAUUACCAUGUUGGUCCAAGUAUAACAGAUGGAUCCCUAUCUUCUUUACUAGUCUCUGUCAGUUUCAUUCUUUACUGUUAUCUGUUCCCCACCUUUGAUGUUCAGGCCUUUAAAAGGUCUAUCAUUUACGGAAGAUAAGUAAUAUACACAUGAUACUUCUCCGUGACUGUUAGGUCUAUCAAAAGGCCAAAUCCACGGAAAACCUGUACUCUUUUUAUGGGCAACAGUAACAGCGAAGUGUUCAAGAUCAUGUACAUCGCAAAGGCGGCAAACAAACCAGAGAACCAUUCCUAAGAACUUGUUAUAAUGUACUGUGGGCAUAGUCAAACAGAUAGAUGGAGCUGUUACUUUAUUGCUGCACCAAUCUGGAAUCUCAUUGCUUUCGAGAUUAAUUUGUAAUGACAGCUUCAUCAGACAAAUUAAGACACAAUUAGAUCAUUAAUUAUUAAUGUGAUACGAGAGAGAUCAGAGAGGGAGAGGGACUAACCUCAUACCGUUGAUGUUCUCUAGACGGAAUUGAUAGAGCAGGGGCACUAAAGAAGCCUUCACUGAAUGGAUUCUGCAGACGAGUACAAUUAAUCAUGUUCAUCUUCUCUAUUGAAGGGAGGUUGUCCAACCCUGCAAUCUUGACCAGUUUUUGGCAAUUCCUAAGUUCAACAAUUUCAAGGUACUCUAAAUUUGAUAUUGACGGGAGUGUUUGAAGGUUCUCACAAUCAUUCAAAUACAAGGACAUCAACAAUUGUAACUUGGAAAAAUCAAAGGGUAGAUAGAGGAAACUGCUGCCGCUCAAAUCUAAAUGAUAUAAGUUGGAUAAACUCCCAAUAUCCCUAGGAACAUCAGCCUCUGAAAAACCACAAUAUGGAAGGCAUAGAAUCGAAAUAAAUUUUGACAAGGAUACUAUAGGGCGUACUCUUGUUUGAGAAAACCUCCUUUUGGUCUCAAAGUAUUGACCUCCCAUUUCCAAUUCUAUAAGAUUUCCUAGCAUUUCAACAGAUCCAGGCAAUUCUUUUAUACCUGUUUCACGUGCAUUAAGAAAUCUUAGGCUUUGCAUAUCUCCAAUGUCAACUGGCAGUGUUUGUAAAGAUGAGCAGUCAUUAAUGUACAAGAUUUCAAGGGAUUUUAGCUGACAUAUGCUGCUCCAAAGAUCAGUAAUCUUUUUGCAACCACUCAAUCGAAGACAAAUUAGUCUGUCCAAAUUUCCUAUGGAUGGAUGGAUCUCCUUCAGACUUGAGCAAUUCUCAAGCCACAAAGUCUCGAGACUUCGUGAACCGUUGAAGUUUGGAGUUUUUCUGAGGCGCUUGCAAUAAGAGAGAUCCAGCAUUUUCAAAUUUCUACAAUACUAAAAGUAAACAAAACAUAGUUUCAAUUAAGAUUUUCUUUCUCUUAAACAUUACACAUAAAAUUGCAGAAUUGAGUAACGAACCUGCAAAUUCAAACCAAAUUCUUGGAUAUUGCUCCCUUUCAUAUUCAGAAAUACAAGUUUCUCAGAUGGAAAAUUUGAUGGUACACAUUUUAACGGACAUCCUUUCCAAGACAACCAUCUGAGCUCCUUGGACAAUAGCUCAAAAUCUCCACUAAUAUGUAAGUGGUCUAUUUUAAGCACCCUAAGAUUUAUCAUUUUCUGAAAUACUUUGGUGCUUAGCUUCACACCCUUUAAUGCUUGUCGUUCUACCACCAAUAUUUCUACUUUUUUAGAACCCUGCAAUUUAGUAAAAAUAAAAGUACUAUAAGACCAUGCUUAAGUAUGACAAAUUAAGAAAGAGAAAUGCUUUAUACAAAUUGAAGGUCAAACAAAUAGAAUAAAUUAUGUACCGAUAAAAAUAAAUUUACACAUUAUAUCCAACUAAAGGAUAUUUAAUUGAUAAUUUUGUCUUUGACAGAUUGAGUGUUUAGACUUCAGUAAAUGUUCAUUUCAAGUACAGAAUGGUUCAAACAUCUAGAGAUACUUACUGGCCGGAGAAGAUUUAAGCACAAAUGCAUAAAUUAUAAGCAAAUGUAUAUCAAUAUAAAUGUAAAAAAGAAGAAGAAGUAUAACCAAGAUAAAGAUAAUAAAAUUUACUGACUUUAUUUCCUUGUAGAACAUCAAUGACUUCUUGAGGGUUGAACAAUCUACUCCGUUUUCCAGGGUCUUGAGAUUCCAUGCGAACGAUUUCUCUUCCCAUUUCCUGCACUAGAUCAUGCAUCACCAAACUAGACCAAUCAUCCCUUUGGAGCAAGUUCCUUUGGACUAAGGUUGAAUUGAACUUUCAGAAUAAAAACCACACGCAUUUAAUGUUUUGGCAACUUCAUCCUCAUAACAACCAUGGAAGGCACAUGCGAUAUCAAAGGAAAACACUCCGAGUAUUGACAUCAAGUCCAUCAAAGCUUAUCUUGAGAAUCUUUUGAAUAUCACCAUGAGGAAUUGCUUUUAGUUUUUUGAACUCGUAUCUCCAUUCUUUAACGGAUCUCCCUAGCAGAUGUGACCCCAAUGUCACAAGAGCUAAUGGUAGCCCACCUGAAUAUUUUAUUAUGUCUUGUGCCAGUUCAACAUAUUCUUGUGGUGGAGAAAAACAGUUAAAAGCAUGACAAGAAAAAAGUUGUUGGGCUUCAUUGUCAUUUAAAAGUUUGGCCCGGUAUAUCUCACUUGUUGUAAGCCCAUAUAGCAAAUGUUCAUCUCGGGUUGUAAUAAUUAUUACACUACCAGAGCCAAACCAACUUCUUUCUCUUGUUAAGGAUUCUAAUUGGCUUCUAUGAUCUACGUCAUCAAGAACAAUUAGAACCUUUUGAGACCCAAGUCUUGCUUUGAUGAGAUUAGCACCUUCAGCAACAUUAUCAACUUCAAAUUCCUUAGUUUUGAGGAUUUGAUUAAGUAGUUUCUCUUGAAGCUUGACUAGACCAGAUUCUUCAGUUUUUGAUCUAAUGUCAGAAAGGAAGCAACUACCAUCAAACUGUUGAAAUAUUCGAUUAUAGAUAGCUUUUGCCAAAGUUGUUUUUCCAAUUCCACCAACGCCACAUAUACCAACCAUGCAAACUUCAUGCUCACAUCCACUUUGCAGUAACAACUCUAUAUGUUUGAUAGGAGAAUCUAAUCCAGUUGGGUAAUGAGCAACAUCUAGAGGUGUCUGGUUAACCUCUCGCAGAACUUGUUUUAUAAUAUUUUCAAUAAAUUUUGCUUCAUGCCUACAGUUUUUGCAACAAUAAAUACUUAGGUAUUUAAAAAUAUUUGAUGAACAAAAUAAAAAUCAAUAGCCAAAAGAUAAAAGAGUUUAUAGAAUGGAGAAUAUAUUCCUUGUCCCUAUCUAUAUGACACAGUUUGAUUUGACACAAAAUUUAAGAAAUAUAGAAAGACUUUACAAUGUUCCAAAAUUAACCAAGUUAUAAGCUUAGGCAAACGCUUAAAUUCAAAAUUUAAUAGUUGAAUUAAGAAGUCUUACCCAUCAGCAACAUUUCUCAAAUCCCAUCCAGAUAAAUUUGCUGCUUCAGUAAGUGCAGCUUUCCACUUUUCCAUUCUUUCAGCUCCAACAAAUCGUUCCUUAUGUUUUGCCAAAGCUUCGUCAAAGGAUCCAGUUUGCCUUCGCACUUGAGAAGGAUCAACAUCAUAGAAAAUAGGCAAAACUACCUGAUUUAACCUCUCUUUGCAAUCGAGAAUUUUGACAAGUUCAUCAAGACACCAACUAGAGGAAGCAUAAUUUUUGGAGAAAACAACAAUGGCAACCCUAGACUGUUCAAUUGCUUUCUCAAGUUCAAUUGAAAUGACGUCUCCCUUUCUCAAUUCCUCAUCAUCUAUGAAAGUAUUAACUCCAACUUGACACAAUCGGAAAUAAAGAUGACCUGUGAAGUUUUUCCGAGUAUCUUCACCUCUGAAACUGAGAAACACAUCAUAAGAUAAGUUGGAAGAAGAAGAUGAUUCUCCUACAACAAAUUGAGUAUUCAUAUUUGAUGACAAUAAAUUAAAGAGAUUUUUAGUCAAUUUUUUGCUUAAUUAAUUAAAUAGAGAUGUGAAGCAGCUAUUUAUAUACCCACAAGUACUUGUUUGUUCCUGGAAAUUUAAUUUUGGGUCAAGUCAUUUACAAGCCCCAAAGAAGGUUUACAGAAAUGAAAGGGAAGUUUCCAAGACAUAAUAUGUCUAUUCACUUUUAUUUGUCCAGCUAUUAAAAGUAGAUAUACAAUUUACUUUCAUUUCCUUCGUAGAUUUUUACUCAUUCACACUAUUAAAAAUAAUGAUCAUUUUUAUAAUGUAUUUUUUCAUCAUAUUAAUAUGCAAAAAAUUGUAAUUUAUAAUUUUUUUAUAGUUUUUGAAUAUUUAAAUUUUUUGUUUAAAAUAUCAAAUUAAUACAAUCUAAUUUAAUUUUGAAAAUUAAUUAAAUUGACUUUCGAAAAUGACAAUAUGAUAUAAAUGAGAGAAUACCAAAAGAGCUGGCAAAUUUCCACCAAAACUUCGCAAGUGGAAAUUAUUAUUAUCUUAAAGUUAUGAACUCACAUCUACAAUUAUUAUUUAGUUUAUUAUAUUUAAAUAAAAAAGAGGAAAAGUCGGAAGUUGUAAAAUUUUAAAUGACAAGUAGAAUGUUUCAACAUGAAUUUAUGAUACUUUAAUAAGCAAUAUUCGUUCUGUAAUAAAUUAAUCGCAAAGAAUUGAUUAGGAAUUUGGUUGAAAAUAGAAAUGGUCCAAUUCAAGAUGAAACUAUUAGAAUUGACCUUUGGUGAGGAAGUAAAUUAAAUUACUCCCUUCGUCUAUUUUUAUUUGUCUAGUAUUAACUCAUGCAAUAAAUAAAACAAAAACAUGAUCGUAUUUGUUCCUGUAUUCUAACAAAAAAGUUAUAUUAUUUGUCAUUUGUUAUACUUCAGAGUCAUAUUUAUCCUUGAGACAUUAAAUCUCCAUGACCCGCCUUAAUUUAACGCAGAAUAGGACGAACACUCUUCUCCAAAGUCCAAGCUAAGACUGUUUCCAUUACUAAAAAUCAAUAAAUUACACAGUUCGAUCACUUACAAUGUUCUCUGGUAUUGUAGGUUAAUCAGAGAGACACUAUAUUCACUAUACAAAGAAAAAGUUGAUCAAUUUUUAAAACUAAGCUUUAGUGCAACUCUACAUACUAGCACUAUACAAUGGAAAAAUUGGUUACAUAAAUUAAACAAAAUUUUCUAUAGAAGCUACUGCUAUCGAAGCUCGAUGCUCCAUUGUUCAUACCUAAUAAUGGCUUUGUAGCCCUAUAAUAGUACACAUUCUACUACAUCCAUCUUCCCAUCUUCAUUGACAUCAUUUUCCUCUUCUUGUGGGCUUUAUGCUUUUCUGCAAUCCUCAGCCUCCUCUUGGCGUUUCUCAUUGGAUUGACCUUCUCUUCUUGUUUCCUCUUAUCCCUCUUCGAUUUGAUAUUCUUCCUUAUAUGACUGUAGAUUUGGACAAAAUAUGUGUUCCUAUAACAUUGCUUAUGCUCCCUCGCACUCCUUCAGCCAGUUGUUUCACGUCAUCUGUGGAGAUGAUGCAAACGUAAUGUCACGCCCCGAGCGUACACCCUGGGCAGGACCGGCACCCGGAGACCAUUUCUGGCCCCAAGCGAACCCUUGGCCUGGCUUUCUUAACUCAGCGGAAACCUAACCCAACAGAAUAACUCAAUGCAAUGCAAUAUUACAAAACAACUUAACUUAUAAAAUAUGGCCAUAAAGGCAACUCGAAUCUCAAAAUAGAAUAUUUACAUAUAUAUAUAGAUGAGAGACUCAAAACUAACUGACUGACUGUCUGUCUAUGAAGCCUCUAAAAUACUGAGAUGGAUGUUGGGACAGACCCCGCAACACCCUAAUAAGACAAAACUAAGAGAACAAAAUAACUAAGCCCUCCGGAAGCAAGGAGGCUCACACUGACUCUGGAGUGCUCAANNNNNNNNNNNNNNNNNNNNNNNNNNNNNNNNNNNNNNNNNNNNNNNNNNNNNNNNNNNNNNNNNNNNNNNNNNNNNNNNNNNNNNNNNNNNNNNNNNNNNNNNNNNNNNNNNNNNNNNNNNNNNNNNNNNNNNNNNNNNNNNNNNNNNNNNNNNNNNNNNNNNNNNNNNNNNNNNNNNNNNACAAGGAUACAAUAAGCCUGAGAUGUAUAUAGAAAUACAAUUAAACUGAUGUAUAUAAAAAAAUACAAUAAUCUCUGUGUAUGAAAAUACAAUAACUGCUGUGGGAGUUUCUCUAACNNNNNNNNNNNNNNNNNNNNNNNNNNNNNNNNNNNNNNNNNNNNNNNNNNNNNNNNNNNNNNNNNNNNNNNNNNNNNNACUUUGGCUCAUAUGUUUUAAAAACAAACUUCUUUCUUUAGUUUGAGAUAAUUGCUUAAAACCUAGCCCAAAGGCUCUCUUGGAAUCAAUGUUCCCUUUACUUUGCUCAAAUGUGAAAACAUUUAUAAACUUCUUUGGGAAUACUUAGUUCCCUAAUAGCUUUUGAGAAAUGAACUCAACUUUAUGCUCUUGACUUACUUGAAACUUGAGACUCUUUACUUAGCUUGAAACUUUAAACUCUUUACUUGACUUGACACUUGAGUCUAAAAAUGAAGUUAAAACGUUCAAUAAAGACUCUUGAACAACUUUGCAACUUGCUUACCUUGCUUAACUUCUAAGCUUAACUCUUAAUUUCUAACUUCACUUGACUUCUAACUAACUCUCCUUGAAUUGGAAUUUUGGAUUCAAGGUGUUUGAUCACAUGUUAUGGAUGAGUUCUUGACUUUUAGAAGUACCUUGGAGUGUUGGAAACAACUAGGAAACAUAGGUAUAAUACCUAGGAACAUGUAUGAAAAAAGUGGUGAAUGAAAGGGAAGGAUUGGUGUCCUUGGCACUAGGAGAGGUGCGACAGCCCAGCCCUUUGUUCCCCAAAAAUCCGACUUUUUCCCCUUGUUUCUUUCCAAUUCUAAACCCUCUCAACCUCAAGGUUUCAGCAACAACACUUAGAAUCAUAAAGACCCUUAUUAUACAAUAGAUUCAACUCAAAAAUCACAGCCGGAAAUUUGUACUAAACCAGCAAGAACUUCAACACAACACCACUACAACUUCAACAACCAAUAAAUCUUCUCUUGGAAUUAAAAACGAGUUGGUGUGUGGGGGUAUGAACCAACCAACNNNNNNNNNNNNNNNNNNNNNNNNNNNNNNNNNNNNNNNNNNNNNNNNNNNNNNNNNNNNNNNNNNNNNNNNNNNNNNNNNNNNNNNNNNNNNNNNNNNNNNNNNNNNNNNNNNNNNNNNNNNNNNNNNNNNNNNNNNNNNNNNNNNNNNNNNNNNNNNNNNNNNNNNNNNNNNNNNNNNNNNNNNNNNNNNNNNNNNNNNNNNNNNNNNNNNNNNNNNNNNNNNNNNNNNNNNNNNNNNNNNNNNNNNNNNNNNNNNNNNNNNNNNNNNNNNNNNNNNNNNNNNNNNNNNNNNNNNNNNNNNNNNNNNNNNNNNNNNNNNNNNNNNNNNNNNNNNNNNNNNNNNNNNNNNNNNNNNNNNNNNNNNNNNNNNNNNNNNNNNNNNNNNNNNNNNNNNNNNNNNNNNNNNNNNNNNNNNNNNNNNNNNNNNNNNNNNNNNNNNNNNNNNNNNNNNNNNNNNNNNNNNNNNNNNNNNNUGAUUUGUGAAAAGACCAAAAUGCCCUUAAAUUUUCCGGACGGAUUCCCUGCCAACUGCCCAACUUUCAAAGGGCAUAACUCGCUCAUACGAACUCGGAAUCGAGUAAUCUCAAUGGCGUUGGAAAGAUCAUUCCACAAGCUUCGCAACCAUAACUGGAACUACUCCUAACUCAUCCUGAGCUAGGAGUUACGACUGACUCAAAGUUGGCCAAAAUCACUGAUUUCCACACUUAGCCAAAUUUUCCAGAUUUUGAAUUUUUCCAAAUUUCCAGAUUCUGGACUGCCAAAUUUCCAGAUUUUAAAUUUUUCCAAAAAUGACUAUUUCCAAAUUCAAGCUUCUUCAUAUUCAUUUUAAAUUGUCGGAUGUUACACGUAAUCAUCAAAUAUAUUAAGGACUACAAAGUUAAUCACUCGGAAGCCAAAGAGGAAGUGAAGAACAUUUGUAAAUGCAGCUAGCACUUUGCAUAUAAGAUAGUAUGGGCAGACACUUGAAACAACAAGUUUGCAAGAGAUUGAAUGAGAGACCAUACCUGAUAUAACUUUUCCAGCAAAUCCUUCACAAACUUUGUACAGGGGCAACAGCAUAUGAUAUGCAAAGCUUUGGCAAUCAACCUCACCUUCAGGGGACAACAAUCUACUCUGAUCUAUAAGCUUUGGUGAAACUGAUUUGAAACAAUUGAAGAUAAUUCUCAUCUGCAAAAAAUUGUGCACAUUCCACAGCAUGAGAACAGGCACUCCUAGCACCAUAUAUGGGAGAGUAAGGCACAAAAUAUUUUUUUUGGAAAACAACGAGAAGGUAAAUUACAUAGCAAUGACUAGGCUAAGAAAUUUUUUGCGAGUCGAGCAAACAGAGAUAUCCUUAAUUAAUCACCCACCUGCAUAUCCUCCACAUGAAGGGAAAUCUUUCCCAUUGUCUUAAGCAAAUAAGAAAUGACCAAGUAGCGCUGGCCUUCAUCUUCUUGAUCGCUAAGGUCAGACACAAGAGACAGAUAGAUGUUUUUCCCUUUCCUUGAAUCAAGCUGUUGAAAAGCCUUAAGCAGAAGACCCUGCUCGUCAUGUUCAAUGGUGGACCAGAACUCAUCUUUACAUUCAUUUUUUCCUAAGAAUGAAUGCAGAGAGCAAAUUGAAAAGACAAGAUUUUGAGUAAUGAGAUCACUGGCAGCAUCAUCAGUCUGCAGCACCUUCAGCUGACAACAAAGAGAAGUAGCUACGAAGAAAAGUCUACUUGGCCUCAUCAAAAAGUAAGUUUCUUGUGGCAGUUCAAGGUUUUCUUUCCAAGCCUCAGUCACAGUGGCAAAGUAGCAAGCCACAAGACGGUUUGAUAUGUUGCGCAACCACAGAUGCGGAUGCAAAAGCAACUCACAGAUUGCUUCCCACAGAUCCUAUGAGAUGUCAAUAAAAAUAAUAGUCAGAAAACAAAUAUGAAUUUAUCCAAAGAACAGGACAAGUUAUUGGCAAUCUGGAAAUGGGAGUGUGGUAGCUGUGGAGCGUACUUUCCCCAGUACAACAAUAACAUACCUAGUGAAAUCCCACUAAGUGGGGUCAGGGGAGGGUAGAAUGUACGCAGUCCUUACCACUACCUCGUGGAGGUAUAGAGGCUGUCUCCGAAAAACCCUCGGCUCAAGUGCAUCAAACCAAAGUAAAAGUAUCCUCUUCAAACUUUAAGCCCAGUAUACUAUUCAAACUCUAAGCACUUGAUUUUCAAAUACUUCUUAACUUUACACCUAGUCUGUAGUUGCAACUAUCUUUUGGCAUGCUGCCUAAGUUUGAGGACUAAAGCAAUUUCACCUAAGUGGUUGUAGCCACACCAAAAAGUAAUUCAUUUCUUAAAUCUAUCACAAAGCAAAAUGAGGUCCAGCGGUUUUCACAUAAGUCCCCUCGUACAUAUGCUAAGUAGGACAUAUUAUGGAUGACUUGGUUUUAGCCCUAUAUUUUAAGACCAUAGCUAAAAUAAUGAAAUACANNNNNNNNNNNNNNNNNNNNNNNNNNNNNNNNNNNNNNNNNNNNNNNNNNNNNNNNNNNNNNNNNNNNNNNNNNNNNNNNNNNNNNNNNNNNNNNNNNNNUAUCAUAAUCAAGAUCUCCCAACUCUACAGUAGACGUGGCAUUCAAUUCACGAAGAAGAUUUGCCUGUAUGAAAUUAAGAAGUGUUACACGUCAACAAACACCUAAAGCAACAAGUUCAAAAGAAAACUAGAUGGUCUAGUAAUACCGUAGGAUGUACAGAAGAAUCAUUCCCUGCGACAGCAUCAAGAACAUCACAAAUAGAAGUACGGACAUCCAAGCCAGCAGAAAUUACGAGUGGAGAAACAGAUUUGACGGUCUUUUUACUGCUUUCACUACCCAAUGGUUCUACAAUAUCCUUAAUAAUCUGUAAAGUGCCUACACAAAUCUCUGCAACCAGAAAGAAAGGUAAUCUUAGAAAAAGAGCAAGGACAUGAGACCAAACAGGUCCACCAAAACUGUAAGACAAAACUCAGAGACUCUGACCAGGGUCUUUGGAUCUCUUUGACAGAAGCGGAAGCAAGAUGUCAAGAAACUUCCUUGCAGCCAAUGGUCCCUUUAUGUGCUUCGAUAAAAGCUUGAAGACAUUGAGCUCUUUUUCCCCAGGAUAUUUGACAAUCUUCCUGGAAAAGUGAAUACAUCAGUUAAGAGGAGAACUGAUGCUAGUGCAUCUCAUAUAACACUUAAUUACAUAAAGAGCAUGCUAAGUCCACUUAGCCAUAUAGGGUGGAUGACACAUACACAAGAAAAUAAGUAAGAAACCUACUUAUUCUCCGGAGAAGCAUUUUCCAAAAAGACAUUUUAGAGGCAUUGUUAUCAUUUGGUAGAUCCAGGUCCAUGACCUAUUUCGAUGGAACACAUUUUCCAUGGUACAUAACACAUUCUCAGAAUUUCGCUCAUUGAUAUCCAUUGAUACGGACCUCACUUGUGGGAUUUCACGGGAUGUGUUGUUGCUUGAGUUGAUAUGCCCUGCUGAAAGUCUUUGUGGGUAGGAGGGAGUAUAAGAAUGAUCCACAACUCCCGGCAAAGUUGUAACAUUACCAUGUUGAUCUAAAUGUAAUAGAUGUACUCCUAUCUUCUUUACUAUGGCUCCGCCACUGCUAUCCUCUACUCUUAUCUGUUCCCCGCCUUUGAUGUUCAGGCCUUUAAAAGGUCUAUCAUUUGCGUAAGGUAAGUAAUAUACACAUGAUACUUCUCCGUGACCAUCAGGUAUAUCAAAAGGCAAAAUCCAUGAAAAACUCUUUUUAUGGGAAACAGUAACAACAAGGUGUUCAAGCUCAUGUACAUCGCAAAGGCGGCAAACAAACCAGAGAACCAUUCCUAAGAACUUGUUAUUAUGUACUGUGGGCAUAGUCAAACAGAUAGAUGGAGCUGUUACUUUAUUGCUGCACCAAUCUGGAAUCUCAUUGCUUUCGAGAUUAAUUUGUAACAACGACUUCAUCAGACAAAUUAAGACACAAUUAGAUCAUUAAUUAUUAAUGUGAUACGAGAGAGAGAUCAGAGAGGGAGAAGGACUAACCUCAUACCAUUGAUAUUUUCUACACGAAAUUGAUAGAGCAGGGGCACUAAAGAAGCCUUCACUGAAUGGAUUCUGCAGACAAGUACAAUUAUUCAUGUCCAUCUUCUUUAUUGAAGGGAGGUUGUCCAACCCUGUAAUCUUGACCAGUUUUUGGCAAUUCCUAAGUUCAACAACUCUAAGGUACUCUAAAUUUGAUAUUGAUGGGAGUGUUUGAAGGUUCUCACAAUCAUUCAAAUACAAGGACUUCAACCAUGGUAACUUGGAAAAAUCAAAGGGUAGAUAGAGGAAACUGUUGCCGCUCAAAUCUAAAUGAUAUAAGUUGGAUAAACUCCCAAUAUCCCUAGGAACAUCAGCCUCCGAGAAACCACAAUAUGGAAGGCAUAGAAUCGAAAUAAAUUUUGACAAGGAUACUAUGGGGCGUACUCUUGUUUGAGAAAACCUCCUUUUGGUCUCUAAGUAUUGACCUCCCAUUUCCAAUUCUAUAAGAUUUCCUAGCAUUUCAACAGAUCCAGGCAAUUCUUUUAUACCUGUUUCACCUGCAUUAAGAAAUCUUAGGCUUUGCAUAUCUCCAAUGUCAACUGGCAGUGUUUGUAAAGAUGAGCAGUCAUUAAUGCUCAAGUAUUCAAGGGAUUUUAGCUGGCAUAUGCUGCUCGGAAGAUCCGUAAUCUUUUCGCAACCAUUCAAUUGAAGAUCAGUUAGUCUGUCCAAAUUUCCUAUUGAUGGAUGGAUCUCCUUAAGACUUGAGCAAUUGUCAAGCCACAAAGUCUCGAGACUUCUUGAACCACAGAAGUUUGGAGUUCUUCUGAG